This is a long non-coding RNA of Gadus morhua (Atlantic cod), 2968 nucleotides long. RefSeq lists it as uncharacterized. The transcript has 2 exons. Lineage: Eukaryota; Metazoa; Chordata; Actinopteri; Gadiformes; Gadidae. The record is from RefSeq and is a predicted model, not a curated record.
UACACAUUCUCAAUCACUCUGUUUCUCUCUCGCUCGCUCUCUCUCUCGCUCUCGCUCUCACUCUCUCUCUCGCUCUCACUCUCUCUCUCUCUCUCAUAUCCAUUAUCGGUUGCAUCACUUCUGGUUAGUCUACAUUUAGUUUUGUAUGAAAGGAGAACAUAAAAAUACGUGACAACAUAUACAGGCAUAAAAACAUAAAAAAUCCUGUGAAAGAAAAUGCUAAUAAGGAGUGAGAUCCAAGCUUAAGUAUGUGUAAAAGGCAAAAGCUUUAUCAUUUAUUGGUUUCGAUGAUUUCAUACCAUUAGUAUUAUUAUAAUUGGAAUGACUAUGAAUAAGAACUGUUGAGGUUUUUGAUGUCUAUAAACGUAAGCGUUUAUAAAUGAGCGUGUGGAGUGCGUUUGGAGGAUGGCCGGUUUAAGCAGCCUCUCCUGGCUCGAGUCAGACUGAUUGGACUCUGGGGCUGGGUGAGGCUGCACACCUGUUGUGCAUUAAAUAAUCAAUUUUCUGAAGCACAGGUUAAACCAGCAACCACCGCCGACCCUCUGUGAGGUGUCCUGCAAGGAACCAUGUGACACCUCCCGCUCUGAAUCACUUUACUCAACCUCUGCACAAAACCGUUUAUAACAUCGACCCCUAAAGAAUAAAAUGACGAUCAUCCGCACACACUCUCCUUACGAGGCAAACACUGCAGCUCAGAGAAGCUGCUUCUGAAGAAGUUAUCCAUGACAACGGCAUGUUGAAUAUGAAUGAGAAUAGAAUCUAUCAGUAGAGGUUUUCUUUUUUAAUUUAAUCUUUAUCUCUUGGAAAAGUGCAAUGUCCUAAUUUAAUCCAACCCUGACACGGUGUGUAGUACCUUCAUCUUUUUAAAGCAUAUUAACUGAGAACGGUUCAGCCAACACAGGCAGGUGGAACUUGCAAGGCAGAGGGGGAAUAUUGUGCCGGUAUGAAAUCCAAUCAAAUAUUAAUUCUGGGUUCCUAUUAUCGGCGGUUAGGCAGUGCCAAAGAGAGAGCCACGGGGAAUGAGACUCUGUUCCCUCGGAAGCAGACAUCUGAAAGUAAAACACAACGUAUCUCCAUACUAAAUAUUAUCUUCAUGACAAUAUUUUGCUCUCCUGUUUCCAUUUCAUUUGCCGUAACUUCAGAUUGCAUCUUUCAGAUUUCUAGUCUGCUCACAAGCGUGAGCAGCCUUAUCGAGUAAUCCACUUGAAAGCGAUUGAUAUGACCAUGCUGUGUGUUCGCUGUAUGAUCGACAAACCCGGAGCACAGGGAGACACAUGCAAACUAUAGACACGCUCUGCAACGAAACAACUAGCAUGUAGCGCACAUAGGAGCAGACACUCGGUUAGCGUGGCAACAACCCCUUCUAACAGUGUAGAAGCGUGUCUUAUAUUGGCUUGUAUUAAUAUUUGAUACAGCUUAUAAUUAGCCUGGUAUUAUAAUAACCAUCAUAAGCCCUUGAUGUAUUUAGUCCAGUAGGGAGUCAAGGCUUUGGGAUGUUUUUAAAAAGGAUGAUCCACACUUAAAGUCACUUUAUCAAACACAAAUCAAACUUACGUUUUCUGAGUAUAUAUGUAUGUGUGUGUGUGCGUUCGUGGUUGGUGUGUAUGUGAUGUCUGCGCUUGUGUCUGCGUGUAUGUGUGGAAUUGUGUGCGGGACAUGGGUAGAUGUAUGGGUGUGGAUGUGCGUGUGUGUGUGUGUGUCUGCGUGUGCGUGUGUGUGUCUUAGUGCGUGCAUGGUCCUUCUGAUCAGUCCAGUGGUGACAGACCAGUGCCAGGCUGGUGCAAUACAAUACAAAACCAAUCACAUGUCACCUGUGAACCUCCUAUUCCUGUACCCCGCAUUGUAAAGAGGGUCCUACCAUGUCCUAUCAAAGGUGCUAGGCUACGCACAUCAAGCUGAACAGAGACAGACCAUCACACAGACCACCGAUGGCAUUGUUCAACGGUUGACAUCGCUAGUGUCGAAACAGUUGCUACACAGAGUCCGGUUGCCGUCGGCAACAACACCGCACUUGUUUAUUAGAAAAUGUAUAAAAGCGAAGCUGAUGAGCUUUGUUGGCAUGUGAGAGAGACGCUUUGUCAGUGAAGUCUCAUAGGUUAAGAGGCCUAUGAUGUAGUCCCCGGGUAAGCACUAUACCGCCGAGUUUCCUUGUGUAUGCAUUGUGGCUUGUUUCUAAAGCGCCGUCGUGUGAAAAUAACAAAGAAGACGUUCUUUCGAGUUGGUUGUUUUGUUUUCUCCGGAUUCCGAAUCCGAUGUCUUUUGUUUUGUUUUUCACCCAUUUUACCAUCUCAUGGAUUGAAGGAAAAAAAAAAACACAAGAGAGUUACGUGUACCACAACAAGGGGACUGCGGCUGUGAGCGACGGACCACCGAGGAAAACAGAGGAACCGCUCGUGUCUUAAUCCAUCUUGAUAAGUGGAACCUUUUAUCCGUGGCCCCGGAGUGAGAGAGACCGAGGGGCCACCGGGAUACAAAACAAAAGGAUUAAAGGAUUAAAGCGGAGCAGAUACUGUACACCUUGAUGAUCAGAAGAUAAAUAUGAUGAUCCGGUUUCUUAUUAUUAUGUGUAAAUGAACAACGGCAUAUUAUGCAGCAGCAGAUGUUCGACAUGUCCAACUCAUCCUGGGUUCUUCAUUCUGCUUGAUGAAUCCAUGCUUCAGUGAACUCCUUGGCAUAACUGACACUGAUUGCUGUGUGUGUGUUUGUGGGUGUGUGUGUGUGUGUGUGUGUGUGUGUGUGUGUGUGUGUGUGUGUGUGUGUGUGUGUGUGUGUGUGUGUGUGUGUGUGUGUGUGUGUGUGUGUGUGUGUGUGUGUGUGUGCACCUGUGAAAGUGUGUGUGUGUGUGGCGUGCGUGGGGGUCAACGAGUGUGUCAACGUGCUGCUAAUGGAAUAGUGUGUUGUGUUGUUUCAUGUCGGUCGUGCUGCACUUUUGUUUUUGGGUGUUUCCAAUAAAGCUGUUCUAACUUUA